UGGGGAAUUUUGGACAAUGGGCGAAAGCCUGAUCCAGCAAUGCCGCGUGUGUGAAGAAGGCCUUCGGGUUGUAAAGCACUUUUGUCCGGAAAGAAAUCCUUGGCUCUAAUACAGUCGGGGGAUGACGGUACCGGAAGAAUAAGCACCGGCUAACUACGUGCCAGCAGCCGCGGUAAUACGUAGGGUGCAAGCGUUAAUCGGAAUUACUGGGCGUAAAGCGUGCGCAGGCGGUUUGCUAAGACCGAUGUGAAAUCCCCGGGCUCAACCUGGGAACUGCAUUGGUGACUGGCAGGCUAGAGUAUGGCAGAGGGGGGUAGAAUUCCACGUGUAGCAGUGAAAUGCGUAGAGAUGUGGAGGAAUACCGAUGGCGAAGGCAGCCCCCUGGGGCCAAAUACUGACGCUCAUGCACGAAAAGCGUGGGGAGCAAACAGGAUUAGAUACCCUGGUAGUCCACGCCCUAAACGAUGUCAACUAGUUGUUGGGGAUUCAUUUCCUUAGUAACGUAGCUAACGCGUGAAGUUGACCGCCUGGGGAGUACGGUCGCAAGAUUAAAACUCAAAUGAAUUGAC
Molecule: ribosomal RNA, 569 nt
Filed under: uncultured bacterium
Lineage: Bacteria
Description: partial 16S ribosomal RNA
Rfam family: Bacterial small subunit ribosomal RNA
Source: RNAcentral